Molecule: ribosomal RNA, 216 nt
Filed under: uncultured bacterium
Lineage: Bacteria
Description: partial 16S ribosomal RNA
Rfam family: Bacterial small subunit ribosomal RNA
Source: RNAcentral
GAUCCUGGCUCAGGAUGAACGCUAGCUACAGGCUUAACACAUGCAAGUCGAGGGGCAGCAUGGUCUUAGCUUGCUAAGGCCGAUGGCGACCGGCGCACGGGUGAGUAACACGUAUCCAACCUGCCGUCUACUCUUGGACAGCCUUCUGAAAGGAAGAUUAAUACAAGAUGGCAUCAUGAGUCCGCAUGUUCACAUGAUUAAAGUNUUCGUCGUAGA